UGCAGUCGAGCGGAUGAGAAGAAGCUUGCUCCUUUCGAUUCAGCGGCGGACGGGUGAGUAAUGCCUAGGAAUCUGCCUGGUAGUGGGGGACAACGUUUCGAAAGGAACGCUAAUACCGCAUACGUCCUACGGGAGAAAGCAGGGGACCUUCGGGCCUUGCGCUAUCAGAUGAGCCUAGGUCGGAUUAGCUAGUUGGUGAGGUAAUGGCUCACCAAGGCGACGAUCCGUAACUGGUCUGAGAGGAUGAUCAGUCACACUGGAACUGAGACACGGUCCAGACUCCUACGGGAGGCAGCAGUGGGGAAUAUUGGACAAUGGGCGAAAGCCUGAUCCAGCCAUGCCGCGUGUGUGAAGAAGGUCUUCGGAUUGUAAAGCACUUUAAGUUGGGAGGAAGGGCAUUAACCUAAUACGUUAGUGUUUUGACGUUACCGACAGAAUAAGCACCGGCUAACUCUGUGCCAGCAGCCGCGGUAAUACAGAGGGUGCAAGCGUUAAUCGGAAUUACUGGGCGUAAAGCGCGCGUAGGUGGUUUGUUAAGUUGGAUGUGAAAGCCCCGGGCUCAACCUGGGAACUGCAUCCAAAACUGGCAAGCUAGAGUACGGUAGAGGGUGGUGGAAUUUCCUGUGUAGCGGUGAAAUGCGUAGAUAUAGGAAGGAACACCAGUGGCGAAGGCGACCACCUGGACUGAUACUGACACUGAGG
RNAcentral lists this ribosomal RNA (702 nucleotides) under Pseudomonas sp. Black. RNAcentral describes it as "bacterial SSU rRNA". It matches the Rfam family "Bacterial small subunit ribosomal RNA", at positions 56 to 751 of the family's 1533-position model. The record is from RNAcentral. Lineage: Bacteria; Pseudomonadati; Pseudomonadota; Gammaproteobacteria; Pseudomonadales; Pseudomonadaceae.